Molecule: ribosomal RNA, 119 nt
Filed under: Lepisosteus oculatus (spotted gar)
Lineage: Eukaryota; Metazoa; Chordata; Actinopteri; Semionotiformes; Lepisosteidae
Source: RNAcentral
GCCAGCAGCUAUAUCACCCUGCAGUUCUCAACUAGGAAAGGCCCCUGAAACAAAGUAGGGUUGAGCCUGGUCAGUACCUGGAUGGGAGACCUCCUGGAAAGCUAUGGCUGCUGCUGGAA